AAAUUGAAGAGUUUGAUCAUGGCUCAGAUUGAACGCUGGCGGCAGGCCUAACACAUGCAAGUCGAACGGUAACAGGAAGCAGCUUGCUGCUUCGCUGACGAGUGGCGGACGGGUGAGUAAUGUCUGGGAAACUGCCUGAUGGAGGGGGAUAACUACUGGAAACGGUAGCUAAUACCGCAUAACGUCGCAAGACCAAAGAGGGGGACCUUCGGGCCUCUUGCCAUCGGAUGUGCCCAGAUGGGAUUAGCUUGUUGGUGGGGUAACGGCUCACCAAGGCGACGAUCCCUAGCUGGUCUGAGAGGAUGACCAGCCACACUGGAACUGAGACACGGUCCAGACUCCUACGGGAGGCAGCAGUGGGGAAUAUUGCACAAUGGGCGCAAGCCUGAUGCAGCCAUGCCGCGUGUAUGAAGAAGGCCUUCGGGUUGUAAAGUACUUUCAGCGGGGAGGAAGGGAGUAAAGUUAAUACCUUUGCUCAUUGACGUUACCCGCAGAAGAAGCACCGGCUAACUCCGUGCCAGCAGCCGCGGUA
RNAcentral lists this ribosomal RNA (532 nucleotides) under Escherichia coli. Its description in RNAcentral is "bacterial SSU rRNA". It matches the Rfam family "Bacterial small subunit ribosomal RNA", at positions 1 to 522 of the family's 1533-position model. Lineage: Bacteria; Pseudomonadati; Pseudomonadota; Gammaproteobacteria; Enterobacterales; Enterobacteriaceae. RNAcentral also lists the same sequence under 1 other name. The record is from RNAcentral.